UGAUCUCAAAUCAGGUAGGACUACCCGCUGAACUUAAGCAUAUCAAUAAGCGGAGGAGGGCGGAUCCCCCGGGCUGCAGGAAUUCGAUAUCAAGCUUAUCGAUACCGUCGACCUCGAGGGGGGGCCCGGUACCCAAUUC
RNAcentral lists this ribosomal RNA (139 nucleotides) under uncultured Thelephoraceae. RNAcentral describes it as "partial 25S ribosomal RNA". The record is from RNAcentral. Lineage: Eukaryota; Fungi; Basidiomycota; Agaricomycetes; Thelephorales; Thelephoraceae.